CGUUCGCAUGUCCACAAUCUGGAUAUCGGGUAUUUAAGAGUCGGGGAACUCCACUAUAGCAUUCUCCCUUAUUUAUUAUAAUAACGUUGGGUAGCAGAAGAAAUUAGCAAAGCAAUAAAAUAUAUACAUAUAUCUAUGUAUAAUCUUAUAAAUAAUCAGUAUGAACAUCCGAGUCCAUGCGGCCAUGUUCGUGCUGAUGUAUUUCCGUCUGUCUCCGGAACUAAAAGAGUUUGUUUUAGAAGAUUUCCACUACCACUAUAUCACCUACAAUUCUAUCAAUAAUCCAAAAACUUGUCGGUCACGCCCAAUUUAACGCUUUCGAAUCGAAAUAAAAGCAAAAGUGUUUUCUGCCUCAGCACCAAUAUCUAAUUUCUUUUAAAUUAAUGUGCUAGUUUUUCGUUGAAAAUUCCUAUAACAGCUUUAUGAAAUCGUGGACCACUUCUGAUCAAGGUAAAUAAGAAGUUAAAUAUUGUCAAAAAACGUAAGUAUACCUAGCUAGAACAUCGAAAAUAGGGUUUCAGAGAAGAAACCGAUGGAGUACACAUGGACGUGGUUUUAACCACUAGGCUAUUGAUGUAUAUACUUUAUAUGGCCAUAAUGGCCUAUUUUAUGUAUGCUCUCUGUAAGGAUUUACAUAUCUAGGAAAAUACAAGUUAAAACUUACUUAUUUCUGAUAAGCAUUUUAUCAAAUAAUACCGUUUAACUUACUUUAGUUGAGUCCUCUUGCAUUUUUGUAUGCUCUGCAAUAAAGCGCACACAAAAACAGCUUUUGUGAAUUUUAGGAAGGCAUUUAGAGUGGGAAAAUGCUGGAUUAUUUAAAAUGGGACUUUUCAUCCCUAAGGGUCCGAUAUCCAUAUCGGGGACGGCGGCUAUUUCGUCUGAACUACAAUGGGUGAGUGGCGGCACUGGGCCAUGAACCUGACAACUUCCUCCAAAUGGUCCAUUCGCCGUAAUGCUAAAGUAAAAGAUAUUUUGAUAACAUUAUACAAAAUACGAACUUUUUUUUAUUUUGAGGAAUUAAAACUCAGCCAUCUCCAACAAUAAGCAAGUGUGUAAACCACAAAAUGGUUGAAAAGAAAUUCAAAAGAAAUACGAGAAAUUCAAAAUUUCUUAUGUACCACAAAAAUGAACAAAUUUCAAAACAUUUUUGAAAAGUGUGGGCGUGGCAGUUGCGUCUGCGUCUAUGUCUCUAGAAUUGUUUGCUCUAUCUUUUAAAGUUUCUGAGACCUCGACAUUCAUACGGACGGACAGACAGAAAAUCAUUUAAUUCUCGAAUACUCUAAUAAUAAUAAUAAUCUAAUAUUAAAUAAAUGAGCUAACAAGACAAGAAAUUGUACAAAUGAAAUCAAUAAAAUAUGCGAUAGUAAGUAAAAGUUUCUUAGAAUAUUUAAAUGGACUCACUUAGAAAAACAAAAUAUAAAAUAUACCCAUUAAAAUUAUAAAUAUAUUUUUCACCACAUAUUUACCAUUGUUAUUAUUAAUAUUAACAGUAGUCAUGAUUAUACGAAUUGAAGUUAAUUAAAUUGUAUGAUACGAAAAUUUAAACACUACACCUAAAUAAAGCUUAAUAAUUUCAUCUACCGACCACAGAUAGAGCCGGAACUGGCACGUGACUAUAGGAAAUUGACCCACUUUUUCUGGUCUAAAUUAAUAACUGCAGAACGAAGUUCAUUGGGUUACACUAGACCAUACCUUUUAUGAUACUAAAAAUUGUGGGCGUGGCACCGAUCGUUAUAUAUUUUUUAGUUGGUAACUCCAGAGCGCAGAAAGAUAUUUAGUUUACUUACACUAGACCAUAUCUAUGAAAAUCCCAAAAACUGAGGGCGCCCAUUAUAUUUAAUUAAGUAAUUUUCGUAUAGAGAAUUCUAUAAUUUCGCAUGCUUCUUCUAUUCCAAUAUUCUAUUAUAUUAAGUAAAAAAAUCAUUUAGUUAUUGUAUAUUGAUAAUAAUAUAUAUAAUAAUAUAUAUUUUCAAAUAAUAACAACAAAAUAAUAAUAAAAAUAAUAAAAAAAAUAUAGCAACCGCCUUUUAGCAUAAGAUUACUCUGAAUAUGAAAUGGUAGGGUUAGGUCCUAAAAGCUAAAAUUCAUUUGAAAUUACAAUUAUCUAAGCAAGAAUUAAAUAAGCUACAACAUGAGGUACAUUUAAUUGACGGUCUAGACUUUAAAUUCCGUAUGAAAGUUUAGUCAUUAUCAAAAAUUAUUUUUCUAAUGCAACUCAUUUUUCUAGUAAAUUUUUGGUACAACACGGUUUUUUUUUUGCUUUAAUAAAAGCCCCACUGAUUAAAGUACCAUUUGUAGGGGUAUUAUAUAUCCUCUUAAUUAACUAAAACACACAAAGGCAGGAGUUGGACUCUUUGAUUUAUUUGUUACUUUCCGUGUUCAGCUUUAGCAUUCGACUGACUCCCUCUCCGUUUGCGAUCUGCCUCUAUGCUUGUUGCUACAGGGCCGAUGUUGCGAAACAGAGAGAAUGCCACCCGAAAGCGAACAAGUACUUAAUGUUUAUAUACUAUGUUGCUAUUAUGAACUGAACUUAUGUAUGUGUACCUCUAGCCUACUACAAUUCGACCAUCCUGACAUUUAAGAUCACCUGAUCUUGUCGAAAUUUCCAACUUAUAACUAUUACAUUGUUCUUAGCCGCUAUUUGUUACAUUUUUUUACUUUUCUUAUCUUUAAUUAUACAAAUUUACUUUCUACUCCCUAUCCAAUGUUUAAUAUUUUGACUACUCCAGACACCUUGAUAUGGAUUUCGCGCCAAUUGAAAACCUUCAACAUCUUUAAUUAAAAACCUAUCAUUUUUCAAUACCUUCUCUAUUUCAUAUGGACCCUUAUGUUUAGGUAUUAGCUUUCUAGCAACUCCUCCUGUACUAUCGAAAUUCUUAAC
Drosophila melanogaster (fruit fly) is the source of this 2881-nucleotide non-coding RNA. The record is from Ensembl. Lineage: Eukaryota; Metazoa; Arthropoda; Insecta; Diptera; Drosophilidae.